Molecule: long non-coding RNA, 248 nt
Filed under: Gallus gallus (chicken)
Lineage: Eukaryota; Metazoa; Chordata; Aves; Galliformes; Phasianidae
Source: RNAcentral
GGCUGAUUGGGGACUGGGUACACAUAAGGUCCCCCACCAGCAGAGCCCAGCAUGGAUACCUGGAGCCAGGAGCAGGCAAGACUUGGAUUCACCCAAUUCAUAUGCUUAAUGCAACACUUCCCAGUGCACACAGGAACAGUGUCCUGGCUUUCCUGUACCCAUCAGAGGUUCCCACACAGCCAAGAUGUCCUCUGGAAGUCCCACCCAGAUGCUGACCUGAUGACUGCUCUCAGAGGCCAGAGACCUGC